GACGAACGCUGGCGGCGUGCUUAACACAUGCAAGUCGAACGCUGAAGCUCAGCUUUUGUUUGGUGGAUGAGUGGCGCACGGGUGAGUAACACGUGAGUAACCUGCCCCCUUCUUUGGGAUAACGCCCGGAAACGGGUGCUAUUACUGGAUAUUCACUUUUCAUCGCCUGGGGGCUGGUGGAAAGGGCUUUUCUGGUGUGGGAUGGGCUCGCGGCCUAUCGGCUUGUUGUUGGGGUGAUGGCCUAACCAGGCUUUGACGGCUAGCCGGCGUGAGAGGGUGAACGGGAACAUAGGGACGGAGAUACGGCCCAGGGUAGGACGCGGGGGAGAAGUGGCGAAUAUGGCAGAAUGGGCGAAAGACUAAUGCAGCGACAGCGAGUGAGGGAUGGAGGCCGUAGGGUUGUGAAACUCUGUCGCUAAAGAUCAAGCCGCAACAAUGGUUGUGGUGAGGGUAGUGGGUAAAGAAGCGCCGGCUAACUACGUG
RNAcentral lists this ribosomal RNA (483 nucleotides) under uncultured bacterium. RNAcentral's name for it is "partial 16S ribosomal RNA". It matches the Rfam family "Bacterial small subunit ribosomal RNA", at positions 28 to 507 of the family's 1533-position model. The record is from RNAcentral.